CGACACGCGCUCGCCCACCCUCCCGCCGGGCCCCGCGCGGAGCUGCGUCCGGGGCUGAGGUGCUGUGGCCGGCGUCUCGUCCGCUCGGUGGCCCAAGACAGCCGGACAGAGACGGCAGCGACAGGAGCACCACAGGCAGCAACGCCGAACUCCGACCGGCCCGCGCCGCCACCUCCGCCGCACGCAAACACGCACGCAAAGCUCACAGAAUUGGCUGCUGCCACUGCUGAGGAUGGUGAAGACAGGGCCAGGCCUUGAGUAAGCAGUACCUUUGCAGUCUGAGCCAAGAUGAUCAGCAGAUGGCGCCAUGGCCCAGCUACAGGCAUGACCUCUCAUGGAUGCAAAAAAUGACCUUCCCACCCAACCUGGCUCUGGGUCUGGCUAACAGCCCGCCCGCCCACCCACCUAUCUGAGCUAAGCCUCUGUGCUGAGUCAGGUGAGUGAGUCAGGGCUCACUGCCCUGAGCAACACAGUGAGAGACGUGACUGGGAACUAAUGUUUGAGAAGAACAAGAGACCCAAGGACAGGUGUACGUGUUGUGUGUGGUGGGGGGGGAAGUCUCCAAGGGGCCUAGAGACCAGAGGGACCCUGCUCUAGAAAGGAGUAGCCUGAGGAUAGAGAUGAAUGGGAAGAUAUUGUCACUGGAAAUAUGUGGGCUUGGGCUGGUUAAUCAACUUCACUCUUCUGUCCACCCCCAAGAUUCCCCUCCACAUUCAUUCAUUUUUUUUAAAUUCAUGAAAUACACAGUGCUGAAGCUGUGCAAGGAGCAGCCCUAGAUGUUGGGGCCACAGAGACAAGUGAAGUACUGAUCCCUACCUGGGUGCGAUGGCGGUGGGAUGAGGACUGAGCAGCAAAGGCUUCAUAGAGAAGAUGCUCCUCCAGCUGACUCCUGACAGAUACCAGCUGGACAAGGCAGGGAAGGGAGUCCAGGCUGAAGGAACAGCCUGGAGAAAGGCAGGGCAAUGAAACAGCCUGGCACAUUACAGGAACUGUAAAGAUUUCAGUGCGGGUGGAGAAGAGGGUGCAAAUCGGGGUGGAGUGAGAGCUGCAGCCGGAGACAGGUCCUGCCGAGCCUGGCGGGCCGUGGGUGAGUGGUGGUGGCGUCCACCAGGAUGGUGACCACGAGGAGGAGAAGAAGCAGGUCUAGCAGAGGGGCUGCUGAGAUAAGGAGUAAGCUUGAGACAUGUUGAGCGUGAUCUUUCCGUGGAGUGCACCAUCAUCCCAGAGUCCCCGGGGAGCCUGGGUUGUUACUUUCACACUCUCCUGUUCCCUGCCCAUCCGACGCCCUAGCAGAACAAGGCUGUGCUCUGCCUGUGGCCACUUCAUCUCCAUAUUCCAGGCCCCACUUUAGACGUUUUCUUUCUGACCCAGAACCACCCUGUUGCACAGCUCUGGGAGGCACCAGUGACCAUAGUAUUUGGUGUGAAGG
Long non-coding RNA from Vicugna pacos (alpaca), 1429 nucleotides. RefSeq lists it as uncharacterized. The record is from RefSeq and is a predicted model, not a curated record. NCBI's taxonomy places the organism in Eukaryota, Metazoa, Chordata, Mammalia, Artiodactyla, Camelidae.